UGUCAACACUUUCCCAAGUAAUUCCAUUCUAAACGUCGCAGCAGAUCGAAGUCCGACACUGUUAGCUGUCUUAUGUCGUCCAGUGCUGACUUACAGCAGCGGAAAGUUCUUCCCCGAACAUCCGCUCUCUGCCUCUUACUCGUCUACGAGUCCUUGGGCAGUUCAAGAAACGUAGGCAACUUCUUUUCCCGUAUGCACUUCCGGUUCGCGUCUGUGAGUACAUGGAGCCCUUGAAAUUUGGAUUUCUUUUCCGUGUACACCUGGCAGGACCUUUAGAAGCCCACCUCUAAAGGAGGGGACAUUCAAGGAUAGCUCCAGUAAACAAAGACCCUCGAGAUCUAAACCAGGAGUCCACCUCGCUGCAUGUACUCUUCGGGAAAAGGUUGUUUAUACCGACCCAGAAAUCCCAUUUUAUAAUGUGUGGAGUUCAGGACUUCUCGGCCACACCUUGAGUGACUGCACCAGCGUGGAAUCUACGGAGGGUGACAAGCCUCCAGGAAAAACGAACGAAGUCCCCAUUAUAAACAGUCCAUGAGUGGCGCGGAAACCAGAAACUUUAAAAUGUUCAGUAAAGUCCCUUACGAAUGACAGACAACUGCCCAGCAGCUUCAAAAUCUUGAGCCAUAGCAACUCUUUAAGUUUUCGAGGAACUGGAUGGGCUUGGGUGAAGAAGCUGUCGACACUGUCCUCCGAACGAAAUAGAGAAUUUCCCAUGACAGAGAAAUUUGCGGAGCCCGGGAAAGGAACCUGACCACGGACGCAGGGAACCGCCAUGCUUUUUUGACGUAGCCCUUUUUUAAAAGUGUGUAGUCUACGAGUUGGACUUCCGGAUAGGAUCUUGAAUGCCUUUGUUUACCGGCUUCAAGUUCUACUGUGCUUUUCAUGACCAGGUGAAGGGCAAAGUCCAGUGGUCCCCAGCGUAUGCUUGCAAGACAAGCGUGCUACUCGGACUUUCCAGGAGCGUACAGUGCAGCUCGCAGAACUUGGACAACGCAGUAAACAGAUAAAAGAUGCGAUUCUUUUUCGACAGAGAGAACCGGUGCUUUCGGUUUGUCAGACUUGAAAUGCCCUCAGCAAACGAGUUCUUCUUUCCGU
RNAcentral lists this long non-coding RNA (1095 nucleotides) under Toxoplasma gondii VEG. Lineage: Eukaryota; Apicomplexa; Conoidasida; Eucoccidiorida; Sarcocystidae. The record is from RNAcentral.